RNAcentral lists this ribosomal RNA (301 nucleotides) under uncultured bacterium. RNAcentral describes it as "partial 16S ribosomal RNA". It matches the Rfam family "Bacterial small subunit ribosomal RNA", at positions 509 to 810 of the family's 1533-position model. The record is from RNAcentral.
CACCGCCACGGUAAUACAGAGGGUGCGAGCGUUAAUCGGAUUUACUGGGCGUAAAGCGUGCGUAGGCGGCUUUUUAAGUCGGAUGUGAAAUCCCUGAGCUUAACUUAGGAAUUGCAUUCGAUACUGGGAAGCUAGAGUAUGGGAGAGGAUGGUAGAAUUCCAGGUGUAGCGGUGAAAUGCGUAGAGAUCUGGAGGAAUACCGAUGGCGAAGGCAGCCAUCUGGCCUAAUACUGACGCUGAGGUACGAAAGCAUGGGGAGCAAACAGGAUUAGAUACCCCGGUAGUCCCUGUCUUAUACACU